This 253-nucleotide ribosomal RNA is filed under the name uncultured bacterium. Its description in RNAcentral is "partial 16S ribosomal RNA". It matches the Rfam family "Bacterial small subunit ribosomal RNA", at positions 524 to 776 of the family's 1533-position model. The record is from RNAcentral.
UACGUAGGGUGCGAGCGUUAAUCGGAAUUACUGGGCGUAAAGGGUGCGCAUGCGGCAGAGCAAGUCGAGUGUGAAAGCCCCGGGCUUAACUUGGGAAUUGCGCUCGAAACUACUUUGCUGGAGUGUGGCAGAGGAAGGUGGAAUUCCACGUGUAGCGGUGAAAUGCGUAGAGAUGUGGAGGAACACCAAUGGCGAAGGCAGCCUUCUGGGCCAACACUGACGCUCAUGCACGAAAGCGUGGGGAGCAAACAGG